This is a long non-coding RNA of Olea europaea var. sylvestris, 3387 nucleotides long. RefSeq lists it as uncharacterized. The transcript has 4 exons. Lineage: Eukaryota; Viridiplantae; Streptophyta; Magnoliopsida; Lamiales; Oleaceae. The record is from RefSeq and is a predicted model, not a curated record.
GUUAAAGUCCCACCCCGAAACGUAGGUUUAGGGUAAGAAAAUUUUCAAUUUCGCUCCUCUCCAAAUCUGCGUCUCCUCCCCUGUGCCGUUCCUCUCUCUCUCCCUCUCUCUUCCCCCCGUCUGCAUCCUUCCCCCCCGCCUCUCUCUCCCCGCUCUGCAUCUCCCCAGAGCAUUCUUGGAGUUGACAUUGAAAAUUUUUAACCCACUAUGAACGCAAAAGGGCAAAAACAAACCAAAACGGCAAGAUCCCGAGAAAUCAAAAGGGCAAAAUCAAGAAUAAAAAAGUAAGAACGAUGGUGGAGGUCGGAGAUUUGGAGCUGAUGUGGCCUUCAUCGCCAUCAACAGUUCACCUCUCAAUUUUCUCUCCGUUGACGAUGGUAUUUUUCUUCAAAAUAAUCUUGUACUGUAUUGGGUGAUUGAUAUGGAUUUUCCGGUCACAACUACAUUUUAUGGCAUGUUUUUUAUUUGAAUCGAGAUAUGCAUUGGAUUGAGAAUUGAGAUUAAACAAUUUGGUUCAAAUUAAUUUUAUUUAUUCAGAAAAUUACCAGCUCCGUCCUCUGUUUUGUUUGAAGAGAAAGAAAAGGCUGAAAAGCAGUAACUUUUGAGUUUUGAUUCUUAUAUGUUUUUUCAUGUAUUGGACCGAGCAGUGGGCAGCAAAUGAGGCUUUAUGUGAAAUUUGAAUUGCAUAGAGUUUAGACAUUGAGGCAAUCAGAUCCUGGAGCUUGGGUGCUAUUUCUGUGAUUACCAAGAGAGCUGGGAACUAAAGGUCAAACACUUGUAAAAACCAUCACUGGAGUAAUAUGAUUAGAAGUAAGUACAGGAACACGACGAAUUUAAGUUAUUAGCUUUCUCUUUUUGGAGUUGAUAAUUUUUUUAUAUAAUAAUAAUCUCGAGUGGGCAAGACAAUUUCGCUUGCUGAUCCAGUAAUGAAUACUAGUUUGUAGGAUUGCAGAAUUUAAAUAGUGGGAAUCUUUUGGAUUUGCUAAUGCCAUUAAUUGAUUUUAAGUUCCAACGACCAUGUUAAUUGUCCUCUAGCUGCUUGUAUUACUCUUUCAUGUCCCUCUUAUAAUUAUGAAUUUUUGACUGUUAUGAAAUAAUCUUCUAAACUCAAGUUACUCUUGCAUUUCAUUAAAUCUAAUUUAUUAACAUUUUGUGAAACUACAGGAGAGUUGAUUGAUAUAAUUUUUGUUCUAAUUUUACAGUUUAGGAAGGGUUAGAUGUUGAGUGACUUGAGUCAAAUGCCAUACCUAUAAUUUUUGUUGCUUUAUUAUUGAUUUUAAGUUAAUAAAUUUAGUUCCUUAAAACUUUUAUAAAUUAAAAAAAUCGAUUGCUUGCUAUGACUUAAGAUGUAAUGACUCGGAUCUCUGUACCCAAGCCAUUAGAUUACGUACUAUCUGCUUUGGGCGGGCCUUGCGUCCACUUACCCCUCAUGGCUUUCAGUCGCGUCCCGCAGGAUUCGAACUCAAAACCCUUCCCUUAAGUAAGACUUAAGUUGAAUUUUGGUAUAUACCGAUUCGAUCCGAGCUCAUGGAAUUGGUAUCCCAAUGAGCCGUCUAUCGAAUCGUUGCAAUUGAUGUUCGAUCCGGAAGAGAAAUCAUUGCACUUACGGUCUUACCAAUUGGGAGAGAAUCAAUAGAUUCCUUUUCGGGAGCGAUUCAUUCGAGGAAACCUUUGCACGCCUCCGUUACCAUUUGGAAACAAGUUGAUAGGAUCCCCUUUUUUACGUCCCCAUGCUGCCAGUUGCCCAAUUGGUAUUAGGAUUCAAUUUAAGUCUUAUUUAAAGGAAAUGUUAUGAGUUCGAAUCUUGGAGGACGUGACAGAAAGCCGUGAGGGGUAAGUGGGCGCAACGUCCGUCCAAAGCGGACAGUAUGUAAGUUAACGGCUUGGGUACAGAGACCCGGGUCGUUACAUAGGAGGCCAAAUUCUAAAGUUCGCCUCACGACCUGUGAAACACAGGUCCGGCCCUGUUUGGGAAUGCAUACGAUAUGCAAGGGACUAAUGGGGAUUUUGUUUUUGGACAUUAUUUAUGUUUGAUUAAUAUGAAGUUUCUAAUAUUGCAGAAUAUCUAAAUGCAAUCCAGUUCAGCUGUGAAGUUAUGAUGAUUACCAUUUAUGAUCUGAUAUUAAAUCUUAUGAGGAAAUUACGACAUGAUUACAGUGUUAAGUUUGAAGGGAUUGGAUAUGAAUUUGAGCAAUUUGUAACUCAACUGCUAAUUUGGUCUUGACACACCUUUUGCAUUGGCGCUGAAGAUCUACUUAGCUAUUAUUUGCAUCUCCAUUGGCUUCCAAUUUAUAGAAAAACUGUUGGUCAUUUGUGCUAAACUUCGAGUUGAGGUUUCUUGCCACUUCCUUUGGUUUACCUAUGAUCUUAAAAUUUUUUCCAAAGUUGGUAACAUGAAGUAGGUAAUUAAUCUACUACCUUGUGGGUGCUUGUUUAACAUGGAUGCUAAUAAUUUUCAGUCAUUUAUUUUCCUUAAGGAUAAAUGCUUAUUUAAUUUCGUCUUUCUACAACAACUGAUGCUCUUUUACAAAAUUUUGGGCAAUGUGGUCCAUCUUGUUGUCUUUGUUUAUUACGUGUUGUUGUACUUUGAUAUCUUUUAUUGUAUGUGCGUGCAUAUGGCAUGUUAUGCCAUUAUAUGAUUUCAAUAUUGCUGUCAACAUUAAUUUCUAUUCAAAUUUGGAUGGUAGGUAUAUUUCAAUUUUCCCCAGGGAUGUGAUGUCUGUAAUCAUGUCUGUUUAUUUCUGUGUGGUUAAAUCAUGACAACCUUCUUCAAGGAUGGAGUCAUUUUGUGCGGCUCACUAUUGCUGUGUGAACAAAGAUGCUAAAAGGUCCAAGUAUUCUGAUACUAAAUCAGUUUUGGAAAAAGGAUCUUAUUUUAGUCCUGAAUGUUGCAGCACUAAAUUUGAAGUCCUGAAUGUUGCAGCACUAAAUUUGAAGUCACAUACGAGGAGGCUGUUGCUUUAAACUGGCAAGAAGAGCUUAUCAGUGAAGAGGCAGCUUGGAUGGUCGAGAAUGAGCAGAACGCAAAAUGUGGAUCAGCUGAUAGGGAAAAGAAGUCAAGGAAAAAGUAUGUUUGCUAAAAUCAGUUUAUACCUCGUGAACACUAGUUCCAUCCAAUUGGAAAUAGAGAAGAUGGGGUUACAGUUGAAGUUGUUGAACUUUUACUAAUUAGACAAUAGAAAAUGUUGAUAUCUAGGAAGUGUAUUGCAUUAGUCUAGAAAGAGGUGGCAUUGUCCUUCAAAUUUUUCUUCUUCAGUGAGAUCUAGUUCGUGAAGUAUUUGCAUUUUUGUUUCUGUGAACAUAUUUUGGCUUUGUAAUCAAUGUUAAAUGUAUGAUAUCUUGUAAGAUUCACAUAUCGUGUGAUUUUAGAUAUUUCUUGAUUUUGAA